Molecule: ribosomal RNA, 303 nt
Filed under: uncultured bacterium
Lineage: Bacteria
Description: partial 16S ribosomal RNA
Rfam family: Bacterial small subunit ribosomal RNA
Source: RNAcentral
AGCAGUAGCCGCGGUAAUACAGAGGAUGCAAGCGUUAUCCGGAAUUAUUGGGCGUAAAGCGCGCGUAGGCGGUUUUUUAAGUCUGAUGUGAAAGCCCACGGCUCAACCGUGGAGGGUCAUUGGAAACUGGAAAACUUGAGUGCAGAAGAGGAAAGUGGAAUUCCAUGUGUAGCGGUGAAAUGCGCAGAGAUAUGGAGGAACACCAGUGGCGAAGGCGACUUUCUGGUCUGUAACUGACGCUGAUGUGCGAAAGCGUGGGGAUCAAACAGGAUUAGAUACCCCCGUAGUCCCUGUCUCUUAUAC